RNAcentral lists this unclassified non-coding RNA (2053 nucleotides) under Yarrowia lipolytica. The record is from RNAcentral. Lineage: Eukaryota; Fungi; Ascomycota; Dipodascomycetes; Dipodascales.
AUACUCUCCAGAAGGAUACCCUCCAGAAGGAUACCCUCCAGGAGGAGAACCCAUGAAAGAUACCCUAGUCUCACGUGAGUCCACGUGACUCUCCUCAAUUCAAUGACCCCCGUCUCCCCAUCCUAUCCUCCACACGUCCGCCGAAUUGGAGACAGAACAUGAUUGCGUCCGCCGCUUUGAUUGCGUGGUGGAAAGAGAUGGAAAAACAGGUGUGGAGAAGGAAGAGUUGGUUUCGGAGGCGGACAUGGGCUUUAUAUAUCAAGGUGGAGCGGGACUUUGUGUAAUAAGGUGUGGUUGGUGGAGAUGUUGGCGAGGCGGUGGGCGCUGGUCACGUGACCGAGAUGGCGGGGGUGUUGGCGUUGGUCACGUGACGCAAUAGAAAUCUGUCUCAGGUUUGAUUUAGAUUUCAUCAGAUGUGUUUUCUUGACGGGGUGUUGAAUUUGGGGUUGAUUUGGUGGGGGAAUCCACUUGGCUCGUUAUUGUUCGUCAUUCAGAUCGAUCAUGGGCCAGCUGGAAUCGGUUUGUUGAGAAUGAUCAGAGGGUUCUUUUCUUCUUUUCUUCUUUUCUUCUUCUUUUCUUCUUUCUUUCGUUUACAGCGAUGAACAGCCGUCGCAAAGGUAAGGGAAAGGGGCUACAAGAAUCUGAAGACAGCUGCGCCAUGAACGUUUGUCAUUUCUUUUCGAUGGAAAAUAUUGAGACGGUUCUAGAAUCUCUGAAGGGUUUGAUUCGUUGUGUUGUCUUCUGUGACUUUGGUACAAUGGCAAUGCCGCAAAAGUUCCAAAAGACCACUCCUGAUUACCCGAGAAACUUCUGGAGAAGCGCGCUCUUUCUCAUCCCAGACAUGGCACUCCUUAUUAGUCAUAGGGGGGCAGUUGUUGACAAAUCACAAGUGCUAAAAGUGCCCAAUUAACCCCAUUCACUUCCCCAAGUCUUCUCAGUGGAGUUUUCUAAUUCCGAGACGGAAAACACUGUCAUUGAGAUGGUUCCAGGUGGCUCUGAGUCAGUUCCAUUUCUCUCUGAAUCAUUUCCCGAAUCAGUUCUCUCUGGAGCAGGGGUUGUCUUCUGAUCCGACGGUUCCACCAUCAUGUGUGGACCGCUAACCAGUUCCUUCCGACUCGGUGAGCGUUCCUCAAAAUAGAACCAUUUGAAAGCUGGAGACGAGCCGAUUACGACUCAGCAGCACCAUUUCCGCACAGCAAUGACCAGUCAAAAGUUGGGUACAAUGCUCAUCCCAAUUGCUCCCCAAAACCAAUGCUCCUUGAAGCCGUGACGAUUCCCAACACUAUGAUGAAUGAAAGGACCGAAAGUUGCAAAAAUGAAAUUCUGAUGAGAAAGUUGUUGUUGUUUUUCCAUCGACUGCCGCCAACCGAACUGUCAGACAGAGACAGGACCGAACCAAGCGCCAUUUGACGUCUUCCACAGCUCAUGCAGCAAACAUCCCGCCACGACUGGACAGUCUAGAUAUCGACAUGGCAUGUUCGGUGUCUGUUCGGUACCCGGAGGGCCAGCUUCGAAGGUGGCACUCCAGAUCUCGAGGUAGCACUACAUGCCCUUCUCCAUCUCCUGUUCUACCUCUUUUGUUGCGAUUUUGUCGUUCCUACUUUCGCCACAUACAUCUCAUGCCUUCACUUGAUGAUACCUCAGGAACGAGUAAUGCCACCGGUUGAAAAGGUAGGUAUAACUGUUCCUCUGGUAUAGGGCGUUGAAAUGAGUCUACUCUUGUACCUACAGGCCAACUACACAACUACCUACUCAAGUUAUCCCUUCACUAUUGUGCUCUACUAUCACCUGGACUAGAUCCUGAAUACAAUACUGUGCCUAGAGAGAUGGGAAGUUGAUCAAAAUGAAACUUGACGUCUGAAGGUCAUUUCAGGUCACCGUCUCCGUUUCAUUUGGCGCAUUAUCCAUCGUUCUGGAGCGCGGUUCAUGCUAUAGGGGGAAUGCCAACCUUUCAACUAUACUUCUAACAAAUAAUAGUUGAUGAUGAAAAAAAGAUAUCCGCACAGAACGAAGUAUUGUAUAGCAAAAAUGUUCAAAAUACAGAAAAAACCAU